Molecule: transfer RNA, 74 nt
Filed under: Klebsiella pneumoniae
Lineage: Bacteria; Pseudomonadati; Pseudomonadota; Gammaproteobacteria; Enterobacterales; Enterobacteriaceae
Also listed under: 1 other name
Description: tRNA-Lys(ttt)
Rfam family: tRNA
About the family: Transfer RNA (tRNA) molecules are approximately 80 nucleotides in length. Their secondary structure includes four short double-helical elements and three loops (D, anti-codon, and T loops).
Source: RNAcentral
GGGUCGUUAGCUCAGUUGGUAGAGCAGUUGACUUUUAAUCAAUUGGUCGCAGGUUCGAAUCCUGCACGACCCCC